This 253-nucleotide ribosomal RNA is filed under the name uncultured bacterium. RNAcentral describes it as "partial 16S ribosomal RNA". It matches the Rfam family "Bacterial small subunit ribosomal RNA", at positions 524 to 776 of the family's 1533-position model. The record is from RNAcentral.
UACGUAGGGGGCGAGCGUUAUCCGGAUUUACUGGGUGUAAAGGGAGCGUAGACGGCCAUGCAAGCCUGGUGUGAAAGGUGUGGGCACAACCCGCACACUGCAUUGGGAACUGUGCGGCUAGAGUGCCGGAGGGGCAGGCGGAAUUCCUGGUGUAGCGGUGAAAUGCGUAGAUAUCAGGAGGAACACCGGUGGCGAAGGCGGCCUGCUGGACGGCGACUGACGUUGAGGCUCGAGAGCGUGGGGAGCGAACAGG